ACCCCAAUCCGGUCCCUUCUGGCACAGGUGCUGUCGAUAGCGUGUGCGAUGUCGGGUGGCAUCG
Molecule: non-coding RNA, 64 nt
Organism: Methylorubrum extorquens PA1
Lineage: Bacteria; Pseudomonadati; Pseudomonadota; Alphaproteobacteria; Hyphomicrobiales; Methylobacteriaceae
Source: Rfam